Molecule: long non-coding RNA, 509 nt
Filed under: Pan troglodytes (chimpanzee)
Lineage: Eukaryota; Metazoa; Chordata; Mammalia; Primates; Hominidae
Description: long non-coding RNA NONPTRT009413
Source: RNAcentral
AGGCUGUGCUGGGAAGGCCUCUCUGGGGUGAUAUUCAGCUCAGAUCUGAAGAGAAAUGAGCGGAAACCGCCUAUGCAGAGGCAGGAAAGAGCUUCACGUGCCCUAGGAGUGGUUUGAAAGACCAAUAAGUUGGGGUUGGGGGGGGGCGAGUGUUAUGAGAUGAAGUUGGAGAUGUAGGCAGUGGCCAGAUCACACAGGGCUUGGAGUUCGAGACCAGCCUGGCAGACAUGGUGAAACCUUGUCUCUACUAAAAAUACAAAAAUUAGCCAGGCAUGGUGGCACAUGCUUGUAAUUCCGGCUACUCGGGAGGCUGAGGCAGGAGAAUCGCCUGAACCUGGGAGGCGGAGGUUGCAGUGAGCCGAGAUCGUGGCACUGCACUCCAGCCUGGGCAACAGAGUGAGACCCUGUAUCAAAAAAAAAAAAAAAAGAAAGAAAGAAAAAACAAACAUAAAAACGAAUUUGAGGCCAGGUGCAGUGGCUCACGCCUGUAAUCCCAGCACUUUGGAAGG